Molecule: transfer RNA, 69 nt
Filed under: Tambocerus sp. PY-2015
Lineage: Eukaryota; Metazoa; Arthropoda; Insecta; Hemiptera; Cicadellidae
Also listed under: 2 other names
Description: tRNA-Gln
Source: RNAcentral
UGUAUUAUAAUGUAAAAAGCAUAUGAAUUUUUGGAUUUCAUUGAUUGAGUUUAAUUCUCUUUAAUACAA